UACGUAGGGGGCGAGCGUUGUCCGGAUUCAUUGGGCGUAAAGAGCUCGUAGGCGGCUUGGCAAGUCGGGUGUGAAAUCUCUGGGCUUAACUCAGAGAGGCCACUCGAUACUGCUAUGGCUAGAGUCCGGUAGGGGACAAUGGAAUUCCUGGUGUAGCGGUGAAAUGCGCAGAUAUCAGGAGGAACACCGGUGGCGAAGGCGGUGGUCUGGGCCGGCACUGACGCUGAGGAGCGAAAGCGUGGGGAGCGAACAGG
RNAcentral lists this ribosomal RNA (254 nucleotides) under uncultured bacterium. RNAcentral describes it as "partial 16S ribosomal RNA". It matches the Rfam family "Bacterial small subunit ribosomal RNA", at positions 524 to 776 of the family's 1533-position model. The record is from RNAcentral.